AUUGAACGCUGGCGGCAUGCCUUACACAUGCAAGUCGAACGGUAACAGGGUGCUUGCACCGCUGACGAGUGGCGAACGGGUGAGUAAUGCGUCGGAACGUGCCGAGUAGUGGGGGAUAACGCAUCGAAAGGUGUGCUAAUACCGCAUACGUACUGAGGUAGAAAGUGGGGGACCUUCGGGCCUCACGCUAUUCGAGCGGCCGACGUCUGAUUAGCUAGUUGGUGAGGUAAAGGCUCACCAAGGCGACGAUCAGUAGCGGGUCUGAGAGGAUGAUCCGCCACACUGGGACUGAGACACGGCCCAGACUCCUACGGGAGGCAGCAGUGGGGAAUUUUGGACAAUGGGCGCAAGCCUGAUCCAGCCAUGCCGCGUGUCUGAAGAAGGCCUUCGGGUUGUAAAGGACUUUUGUCCGGGAGCAAAUACCCAGUGCUAAUAACGCUGGGGGCUGAGAGUACCGGAAGAGUAAGCACCGGCUAACUACGUGCCAGCCGCCGCAGUAA
This 500-nucleotide ribosomal RNA is filed under the name uncultured bacterium. Its description in RNAcentral is "partial 16S ribosomal RNA". It matches the Rfam family "Bacterial small subunit ribosomal RNA", at positions 30 to 523 of the family's 1533-position model. The record is from RNAcentral.